This is a long non-coding RNA of Hylaeus anthracinus, 817 nucleotides long. RefSeq lists it as uncharacterized. Lineage: Eukaryota; Metazoa; Arthropoda; Insecta; Hymenoptera; Colletidae. The record is from RefSeq and is a predicted model, not a curated record. The transcript is spliced from 4 exons.
CGCUCGUAUUCGCGGCACGGUGCUAUUUCAGUUGGAUGUUCGAUCCUUGCGCGAAUCGCGGAUACACUAGGUGUCUCAGCAAUUGUAGUAUAAAACAGUCGAACGAAACGAUUCAUCAAACGGAAACGAACCAAACAUUUUAAAUGGAAUUUUCUUGUAUGAUAAAUUGUAAAAUGAUAAAAUCGAUAGUUUAUUUACGUGGUAAAGAAAUUCAUUCUUUGGCUAUUUAAAGUAAAUUUAACAUUCGUAAAUAAAAAUCAUACAACCUUUAAGCUACCCUCAGUCAUAUAUUCCAAGAAGAGACCCGUAGCGAUCUCGUCGCGAACGAGUGAAUUAAUGCUGUAAACUCCACUAUCGAUGCUAGAAUUAUGUCUCCCGUGAAAGUACUCUGGAAUACUUUAUUGUGCAGAGCAAAGCAAACACGGUCUAUAUUGUCGUAUUACUAUAUUGAAAAUUUAUAAACUAAACUCACGUAUAUAUCACGUAUAUAUCAGACUCCUUGAAGAGGCUAAAGGACCUGAGGAAACUGUCCUCAUGCAUACGAUCUACACGUACGUUGCAAUCACGUUCGAAGGGGUAAUUCUGUAGGAGAUUGCCAAUCCUCCGCAGCAACAAGUAUAACUAAGCUGGUAUUUCGCAGGUGUGAAUCGAAUUUCGAAAAAAAAAAAGAACAUCCGAGUUGAAGAUGACUUCGAUGGUGCUCACAAUUAAUUUUUAUUGUUUCAUGUUACAUUACUUGUCUUUAUAUCGCGUACGUGGGUACUGUACUCAGAUUUUAGAAUAUCUAGAGGCUUUCAAUAACAAUAAUCGUUACAAA